RNAcentral lists this ribosomal RNA (455 nucleotides) under uncultured bacterium. RNAcentral describes it as "bacterial SSU rRNA". It matches the Rfam family "Bacterial small subunit ribosomal RNA", at positions 8 to 507 of the family's 1533-position model. The record is from RNAcentral.
AGAGUUUGAUCAUGGCUCAGAAUCAACGCUGGCGGCGUGCCUAACACAUGCAAGUCGAGCGGACCCUUCGGGGGUUAGCGGCGGACGGGUUAGUAACGCGUGGGAACGUGCCCAAAGGUACGGAAUAGCCUCGGGAAACUGAGAGUAAUACCGUAUGUGCCCCUCGGGGGAAAGAUUUAUCGCCUUUGGAUCGGCCCGCGUUGGAUUAGGUAGUUGGUGGGGUAAUGGCCUACCAAGCCGACGAUCCAUAGCUGGUUUGAGAGGAUGAUCAGCAACACUGGGACAGAGACACGGCCCAGACUCCUACGGGAGGCAGCAGGUGGGGAAUCUUAGGCAAUGGGGGAAACCCUGAUCUAGCCAUGCCGCGUGGACGAUGAAGGCCUUAGGGUUGUAAAGUCCUUUCAGCUGGGAAGAUAAUGACGGUACCAGCAGAAGAAGCCCCGGCUAACUCCGUG